Podarcis raffonei (Aeolian wall lizard) is the source of this 758-nucleotide long non-coding RNA. RefSeq lists it as uncharacterized. The record is from RefSeq and is a predicted model, not a curated record. The transcript has 2 exons. NCBI's taxonomy places the organism in Eukaryota, Metazoa, Chordata, Lepidosauria, Squamata, Lacertidae.
CUUUGGUAAGGCCUCACUCUCAGCUUCAGCUCUCCAUCAACCAUAUGGGUGCAAUACCAUAUGCAAUACCAGGUCUUACAGGGCUGGUACAAGGAUCACCAAGACAAGGCUUUUUAAAGAUACUUGGGACACUUUAAAGCAGGGGUGGGGAGACAUCAGGCUUGGGGAUCCACUUUGCUUGUUACUAGAAGACCAAGAUCCACCAACCAGAACCUGAUGCAAAAGAUGCACAAUGAAGAGAAUUCUGAGCUCAGGAAUUUACUGUAUGUUCCAGAACAGGAUGGAGCUCACAGUCUAUACUGCCUGCUAUCUACACUGCGGAUGGCAGUGACAGGGUUCUCUGCCAGCCCUAGCCAGAGAUGCUAUUCGAGACUGAAUCUGAACCUUUGGCAUGCAAAAGAGAUCCUCUACCAUUGAGCUCCAGCCCCUGCCCAAGCUAUUUUCAUAUCAAAGCUGCUUGCCUCAAAAGGUUUUCAUUUCAGCAGUAUAAUUUAGGACAGAAUUCCCUGCACAAAAAUAUCCUGGCAGAUGAAGAAGGAGAAGUUUAGCCUAACCUGCUGUCACCCAGCCCAGGCUUUCUGGCCUGGGGAAGGAUUCAGACUUGCUAUCAUUUCUUAGCAGUCUCUGGUGGUCCAGUUUAGGAAGAAGCACAAAAUGUGAUACUGUAGGGAGCGUGACCUGGCAUCAAGGCAAACAAAACCCAGGGAAGAGGUCUGUCCUAGCAACUGCUUUCCUAUCAUUAAAAACAGCCAAACUCA